RNAcentral lists this unclassified non-coding RNA (231 nucleotides) under fungal sp. RNAcentral's name for it is "partial internal transcribed spacer region". The stretch from base 1 to 48 matches the Rfam family "Eukaryotic small subunit ribosomal RNA", at positions 1784 to 1831 of the family's 1831-position model. The record is from RNAcentral. Lineage: Eukaryota; Fungi.
AAAAGUCGUAACAAGGUUUCCGUAGGUGAACCUGCGGAAGGAUCAUUACCGAAAUUGAUUAUCUUCUUUCUGUGAAUUUUUUAAUAACUUGCUUCGGUGGCAUAUUAUAGUCAGCUCAUUUCACACUUGGGUUAACUACUGCCACCGAAAGGUUAAACUCAAUUAAAAUUUUUUGUCUAAACAAUUAAAACUAAUAGAUCAAAACUUUCAGCAACGGAUCUCUUGGUUCUC